AGAGUUUGAUCCUGGCUCAGGACGAACGCUGGCGGCGUGCUUAACACAUGCAAGUCACGGGGGCUCGCAAGAGCAACCGGCGAACGGGUGCGUAACACGUGAGCAACCUACCGAUUUGCGGGGGAUAGCUGUCCUAACGGGCAGGUAAUACCGCAUACGCUCAUUGAGUCUCCUGGCUCGAUGAGGAAACCUCCGGGGCAAAUCGAGGGGCUCGCGGCCUAUCAGCUAGUUGGCGAGGUAACGGCUCACCAAGGCGGCGACGGGUAGCUGGUCUGAGAGGAUGGCCAGCCACAUUGGGACUGAGAAACGGCCAGACUCCUACGGGAGGCAGCAGUGGGGAAUCUUGCGCAAUGGACGAAAGUCUGACGCAGCGACGCCGCGUGGGGGAUGAAGGUUUUCGGAUCGUAAACCCCUGUUGCCCGGGACGAACUUCUCCAUUCGUGGAGAUUGACGGUACCGGGUGAGGAAGCACCGGCUAACUCUGUGCCAGCAGCCGCGGUAAUACAGAGGGUGCGAGCGUUGUCCGGAAUCACUGGGCGUAAAGGGCGCGUAGGUGGCACUCCAAGUCCGUGGUGAAAGCUCGAUGCUCAACAUCGAGUCGGCCACGGAAACUGGGGAGCUGGAGCACUGUAGGGGCAGAUGGAAUUCCGGGUGUAGCGGUGGAAUGCGUANAGAUCCGGAAGAACACCGGUGGCGAAGGCGGUCUGCUGGGCAGUUGCUGACA
This 724-nucleotide ribosomal RNA is filed under the name uncultured bacterium. RNAcentral describes it as "bacterial SSU rRNA". It matches the Rfam family "Bacterial small subunit ribosomal RNA", at positions 8 to 745 of the family's 1533-position model. The record is from RNAcentral.